GAUGAACGCUGGCGGCGUGCCUAAUACAUGCAAGUCGAGCGAACAGACGAGGAGCUUGCUCCUCUGACGUUAGCGGCGGACGGGUGAGUAACACGUGGAUCACCUACCUAUAAGUCUGGGAUCACUUCGGGAAACCGGAGCUAAUACCGGAUAAUAUAUUGCACCGCAUGGUUCAAUAGUGAAAGACGGUUUUGCUGUCACUUAUAGAUGGUUCCGCGCCGCAUUAGCUAGUUGGUAAGGUAACGGCUUACCAAGGCAACGAUGCGUAGCCGACCUGAGAGGGGGAUCGGCCACACUGGAACUGAGACACGGUCCAGACUCCUACGGGAGGCAGCAGUAGGGAAUCUUCCGCAAUGGGCGAAAGCCUGACGGAGCAACGCCGCGUGAGUGAUGAAGGUCUUCGGAUCGUAAAACUCUGUUAUUAGGGAAGAACAAAUGUGUAAGUAACUAUGCACGUCUUAACGGUACCUAAUCAGAAAGCCACGGCUAACUACGU
This 496-nucleotide ribosomal RNA is filed under the name uncultured bacterium. RNAcentral describes it as "partial 16S ribosomal RNA". It matches the Rfam family "Bacterial small subunit ribosomal RNA", at positions 28 to 506 of the family's 1533-position model. The record is from RNAcentral.